UACGUAGGGGGCAAGCGUUGUCCGGAUUUAUUGGGCGUAAAGCGCACGCAGGCGGUCGCUUAAGUUUCGAGUGACAGGUCAGGGCUUAACCCUGGCAGGCCUUGGAAAACUGGGGGACUUGAGGGCUUCAGAGGGACGCGGAAUUCCAGGUGGAGCGGUGAAAUGCGCAGAUAUCAGGAAGAACACCCGUGGCUAAGGCGGCUCUCUAGUACGGUACUGACGCUGAGACGCGAAAGCGUGGGGAGCGAACAGG
Molecule: ribosomal RNA, 253 nt
Filed under: uncultured bacterium
Lineage: Bacteria
Description: partial 16S ribosomal RNA
Rfam family: Bacterial small subunit ribosomal RNA
Source: RNAcentral